This is a long non-coding RNA of Acipenser ruthenus (sterlet), 2431 nucleotides long. RefSeq lists it as uncharacterized. NCBI's taxonomy places the organism in Eukaryota, Metazoa, Chordata, Actinopteri, Acipenseriformes, Acipenseridae. The transcript is spliced from 4 exons. The record is from RefSeq and is a predicted model, not a curated record.
ACUAACACAAGAUUGCUAACAGCAUGGGAUGGUGGGCGGUACUGGCCAAUUCGUCGUUUCUUUCUUUUUCAAAAAGCAAGCUUCCCGAAAACCCGUACUCCUUAAUAAUUGAUAACAGUCCCAUAGUAAAACGGGGAGAUCCCAAGUUUACAUGAACGUGUGUCUCUGCAGAGUUAUCUCAUCGUGUCUUUCACCGGUGUUACCACGAAAUGUCCGCUAGGUGGCAGGCGACACAAUCUGAUUGUGAAAGUGGUUUUCACUGUGUGCAGGUAGACACGGUUCUGCAGGGUGCCAUGCGGUUCUGAUCCAGUACAGUUAAUGGUGCCCCACCAAGCUGUAAACUCCAGGCUGCACCUUGGAAACGGUGCGGCUUCCUGCUAAAGGAAUAGGGAACCAGCUGCCACGGCAGAGGGACUAUCUGGACAAGAAACAGAGACCGCGAAACAGAUAAAAAUCCUUGGAACUUCCUCCCAUUUCCCGAAGGAAUUUUUUGCGGCAGAGCGAAAUAUAAAAAUGGACCCUUGCACCCCCUUCUCUUUCCAGGAAGACGCGGGACGAGGGAGAUGAGAGGGGUUCAAGCGAAGAGGACAGAUUCGGAAAGGAUUAACUACGGCUUCUGGUGUUGUCAAGAUCACUAAUGAGUUUGUGUUUAAAAUCAGCUCUAACCAGAAAAAAAACCACUGAAACAAGUUGUGCAGGAUGCCAGUAUAACUUUUUAAAACCCACGUGAAUCCAGGGCGAGGAUUUCAAGUUUUGGAACCUGUUUUGUUGAACUUUUAGAGAAACUUAAAAAAAAAAAAAAUGGCUGGAGGAAACGCUUUGGUAUUGUUUGGCAGUGUGACUCAGGUUCGAGGCACUGCUUUGUCAGGUCACUGUAGCCAGAAUUCCCAGACUGGUACAGUCCCUGGCUAACUCGAAAUAGCAGAAGAGGAGGCUUUCAGGGCUGCCCACUUUUGUGAAAUCGGUCAGCAAGGUGAUCACAGGAGGGGAACCAUUUGAAAUGCUGUUGGCUCCACAGUCCUGGGGAUUGUAUCGGCUUGUAAAGGAUUGCAGAAGUUGAGCAGGUGGAGAGAGGCACGGUAGGGACUGAUGUGACAGAUAGGAAGCCUUAUGAUAAACCCAUACAGGUAAAAGCAUGUGCAAUGUUCAGUAUGCCAUUUAUGGGGAUAGAGUGGAGGCGCCCAUAUGUAUGCCACACUUUUACAUUGACCUCACUUACCACUUUCUCAACGGCGAUGGAAACUUGGUCAGGAUAUUUCUCUACCCAAAAGUUAAUGAGAGUUUCGGAAUGUGGGCUGCAUGGUGGAAUCUGGCCGUCUGUCAGUGAAUGCGGGUUUCCAUGAUACCGAUAGCUUUGAUUUUAUAUUUACAGCCAUGGCAACAGGGGAUUUCUAGUUCUGUAUUGUAUUUUGCACAGUUCCCCAGAACACGCUCAACUUGUCAGAUGCCACCUGUUUUCAAAGACCAGGUGCCUGCAGAAUGGGUUUCAUUACUGAAGACUGCGCAUUAAUUGAAAGCCCUUGUAAAAGAGCAGCUGUGGAAGGAGACCCAGACCUCGUAUUAAGGUGGUGCAGCCUGGAGCAGACGUCUAGCACAGACCCAGCUGCAGGAGCCUAGCGAGCGGGGGGAAGGCGCUGUGCUGUCGACUGCAAAGUGAGUGUGUUCCAUGCAAACACGUGCCAGGGUCAUAGUCAUGGGAUGCUGGAACAUAUCUCAGAAUCAUCUCCGGUAGUGCUGCACCCAGUGGUGGUGUGGCAAAACUGUUCCUUAAACCGAAGAAAAGUUACGAACGAGAGGAGGCCGGCCGGCUCUCGAAGGAUCCCAGUGACUCGGCAGCAACAACGUGGCUUGGAAACUCGUCCCAUGCACUCACCACGCUGUGCAAAAAAACAUCACCUUCUCCCCUCUGCCCUGAGUCUGCCUCCACUCAAUUUCCAGCUGUGUCCUGUGGGCCUGGUCUCAGCGGUUGAACCUGUGCUUUUUUUAAAAUCUGCCCUAACCCUUCCUUGUUGCAAGCUAAAUAGAUGCAGUUCCUUCAGCCUGUCCACCUACCUCCCUGCUCUGUCUAACACCUACCUUUCAGUCCUGAGACCAGUCUGGGUGUUGCUCCUCGCUAGACUCUCUCCAGAGCGGCAAUGCUCUUUUCUGUAAGCACCCAAGAGUGCGGUCUCACCAGUGCAUUGUGCAACCUCAUCAUAAUCGUAACCUGGCUUGAACUUUUUGUUUCCUGAAAUGCUGUGUGUUGGUAUAGCUGACACCCACAGGGUGUCCCAGGACGGAGUGGGUUGAAGGGUGCAGCAGGGGAGGGGCGGUGUUAAAAAUAUCCCUUUCCUUCACACGGCGUGAGGUAAGGAAGCCUGAGGCAGUUGCACUCAUUUGCAUGUGUUAAUUUGAUUAAUUAGGGAGCAUCAAAUAUUCCGUGACAGGAGCU